This 496-nucleotide ribosomal RNA is filed under the name uncultured Streptococcus sp. RNAcentral's name for it is "partial 16S ribosomal RNA". The record is from RNAcentral. Lineage: Bacteria; Bacillati; Bacillota; Bacilli; Lactobacillales; Streptococcaceae.
CACGUAGUUAGCCGUCCCUUUCUGGUAAGCUACCGUCACAGUGUGAACUUUCCACUCUCACACCCGUUCUUGACUUACAACAGAGCUUUACGACCCGAAAACCUUCUUCACUCACGCGGCGUUGCUCGGUCAGGGUUGCCCCCAUUGCCGAAGAUUCCCUACUGCUGCCUCCCGUAGGAGUCUGGGCCGUGUCUCAGUCCCAGUGUGGCCGAUCACCCUCUCAGGUCGGCUAUGUAUCGUCGCCUAGGUGAGCCAUUACCUCACCUACUAGCUAAUACAACGCAGGUCCAUCUUGUAGUGGAGCAAUUGCCCCUUUCAAAUAAAUGACAUGUGUCAUCCAUUGUUAUGCGGUAUUAGCUAUCGUUUCCAAUAGUUAUCCCCCGCUACAAGGCAGGUUACCUACGCGUUACUCACCCGUUCGCAACUCAUCCAAGAAGAGCAAGCUCCUCUCUUCAGCGUUCUACUUGCAUGUAUUAGGCACGCCGCCAGCGUUCGU